Molecule: long non-coding RNA, 332 nt
Filed under: Rattus norvegicus (Norway rat)
Lineage: Eukaryota; Metazoa; Chordata; Mammalia; Rodentia; Muridae
Description: long non-coding RNA NONRATT033785
Source: RNAcentral
AUGCAUUAAUAUGAAAUUAAUAGUUUAACCUAUUGCCCCCUUUUGUCAUUAAAAUGUUUGGAUUCAGUGUUCUGGUCCUCCAUUCCACUGGAGAAGAGGUGCAAAGAUCAUUCUGUGAGCAUCAGUUUUGUCAAAGGCAGCAUUUCUAAUAUCAAGGACACACAUGUGAGGAUAUUAAGAGGAGCAACUAACAGAGAAAACAAUGCAAAAUGACGUCCUUCCUAUGCUGAACAAUUAUUUAACUUGAUGGAAAUGUCCCACGUUGCAGUUAAAAUACAAACCAUUACAGACAGUGAAGCUGAACAGAAACCUUGGAGGUAAUAUUUCUGUUG